RNAcentral lists this ribosomal RNA (726 nucleotides) under uncultured Alphaproteobacteria bacterium. RNAcentral describes it as "bacterial SSU rRNA". It matches the Rfam family "Bacterial small subunit ribosomal RNA", at positions 8 to 779 of the family's 1533-position model. The record is from RNAcentral. Lineage: Bacteria; Pseudomonadati; Pseudomonadota; Alphaproteobacteria.
AGAGUUUGAUCAUGGCUCAGAAUGAACGCUGGCGGCAGGCCUAACACAUGCAAGUCGAACGGGUCCUUCGGGACUAGUGGCGGACGGGUGAGUAACGCGUGGGAACGUGCCCCUUGGUACGGAAUAGCCCUGGGAAACUGGGAGUAAUACCGUAUGUGGUCGAGAGACGAAAGAUUUAUCGCCAAGGGAUCGGCCCGCGUUGGAUUAGGUAGUUGGUGGGGUAAUGGCCUACCAAGCCGACGAUCCAUAUCUGGUUUGAGAGGAUGAUCAACCACACUGGGACUGAAACACGGCCCACACUCCUACGGGAGGCAGCAGUGGGGAAUCUUACACAAUGGGGGAAACCCUGAUCUAACCAUGCCGCGUGAUCAAUGAAGGCCUUACGGUUGUAAAGAUCUUUCAAGUGGGAAGAUAAUGACUGUACCACCAGAAGAAGCCCCGGCUAACUCCGUGCCAGCAGCCGCGGUAAUACGGAGGGGGCUAGCGUUAUUCGGAAUUACUGGGCGUAAAGCGCACGUAGGCGGACCAAAAAGUCAGAGGUGAAAGCCCGGGGCUCAACCCCGGAACGGCCUUUGAAACUCCUGGUCUUGAGGUCGAGAGAGGUGAGUGGAAUUCCGAGUGUAGAGGUGAAAUUCGUAGAUAUUCGGAGGAACACCAGAUGGCGAAGGCGGCUCACUGGCUCGAUACUGACGCUGAGGUGCGAAAGCGUGGGGAGCAAACAGGAUU